This 595-nucleotide ribosomal RNA is filed under the name Podoscypha vespillonea. RNAcentral describes it as "partial small subunit ribosomal RNA". It matches the Rfam family "Bacterial small subunit ribosomal RNA", at positions 364 to 933 of the family's 1533-position model. The record is from RNAcentral. Lineage: Eukaryota; Fungi; Basidiomycota; Agaricomycetes; Polyporales; Podoscyphaceae.
UUAGUCAAUGCUCUCACGAGUGAACUAGCUAACUGAAAUCAUUUGUGUGUCACAAGUGAUAACGUAAAGGAAAAUAAUGAUAUUACUUUACUAUUAGUGUCGUCCAAAACUGGUGCCAGAAGACUCGGUAAGGCCAGAGACGCAAACGUUAAUCAUCUUUAUCAGGCGUAAAGGGUUUGUAGGCUGCUUUAAAAAGCUCAUAUUUAUAAUAGAAUUUCUUUUUUUUAUUUUCUUUUUUUUUAAUAUUAACAAAUAAUAUUUGUUUAUUUGAAAAAGGUGUAUAAAAAUUAGGAAUAAAUGUGACAUAAUUAAAGCUAGAAUCAAAUAGAGGUUGAAUAAAGAAUGCUUAGAGUAAGGCUGAGAUCUAAAAAUCCUAAGUAGAAUACUCAAAGCGAAGGCUUUCUUCCAUUAAUGAUUGACGCUGAGAAACGAAGGUUAGGAUAGGAAAUAGGAUUAGAUACCCUACCACCCCUCUCUGUCAACGAUGAAUGGUAGUUAUUAAUACAAUUAGUAGCGAUGUUAACGCGAUAACCAUUCCGCCUUGUCAGUACAAUUGCAAAAUUGAAAACAAAAAAACGGUCUUGAAGCAAACGGA